GCUGAACGCUUUCUUCUUUCCUAAUACAUGCAAGUCGAGCGAACAGAUAAUGAGCGUUCUCCUUUGACGUUAGCGGCGGACGGGUGAGUAACACGUGGGUAACCUACCUAUAAGACUGGAAUAACUCCGUGAAACAGGUGCUAAUGCCGGAUAACAUGUUCAACCGCAUGGUUCUACAGUUAAUUGCGCCUUUGCUGUUACUUAUAGAUGGACCCGCGCCGUAUUAGCUAGUUGGUGAGGUAACGACUCACCAAGGCAACGAUACGUAGCCGACCUGAGAGGGUGAUCGGCCACACUGGAACUGAGACACGGUCCAGACUCCUACGGGAGGCAGCAGUAGGGAAUAUUCCGCAAUGGGCGAAAGCCUGACGGAGCAACGCCGCGUGAGUGAUGAAGGUCUUCGGAUCGUAAAACUCUGUUAUUAGGGAAGAACAAAUGCAUAAGUAACUGUGCGCGUCUUGACGGUACCUAAUGAGAAAGCCACGGCUAACUACGUG
RNAcentral lists this ribosomal RNA (497 nucleotides) under uncultured bacterium. RNAcentral's name for it is "partial 16S ribosomal RNA". It matches the Rfam family "Bacterial small subunit ribosomal RNA", at positions 28 to 507 of the family's 1533-position model. The record is from RNAcentral.